Molecule: unclassified non-coding RNA, 413 nt
Filed under: soil metagenome
Description: partial contains 5.8S ribosomal RNA, internal transcribed spacer 2, and large subunit ribosomal RNA
Rfam family: 5.8S ribosomal RNA (bases 1-120)
Source: RNAcentral
GAUGAAGAACGCAGUGAAAUGCGAUACGUAGUGUGAAUUGCAGAAUUCCGUGAACCAUCAAAUCUUUGAACGCAUAUUGCGCUCGAGGCUUCGGCCGAGAGCAUGUCUGCCUCAGCGUCGGUAUUACCCCUCGCUUCUCAACCCCUGGUUGAUGCCUGCCUGCCUUUGCAGUUGGCUAGAAGCGGAUCUGGCUUUCCCAAUUGCCUUUGGUAGUUGGGUCAGCUGAAGCACAGAGGCUUGAGCAAGGACCCUUAUUGGGCUUCAACUGGAUAGGUAGAACUGGUCUUAGGACCAACUACACGAAGUUGUUGCUUGUGGUCUUUUGUCUGGAGGCCAGCAGGAAACCUUUAUACCUUCGACCUGAGCUCAGGCAAGAUUACCCGCUGAACUUAAGCAUAUCAAUAAGCGGAGGA